AUAUAUUUUACAAUAUACUAAUGACUACUAUACAAGAUAUUGAUUUAAAAAAAAUAAAAUUCAGAACCACCAGAACCGGAACCGCAGAUCCAAAUAGACCCAGAACCGGAACCGGAUACAGCCUUAUAAGGGAGACACAAUCCAAAACACAAAUCAUCAAUGGAUAGCCCCGCCAAGCCUCACCCAACCCCGGGUGAGUAGUACGAAAAACUCUAGGGCCCCUAUCCUACAACCUUGAUA
This 240-nucleotide long non-coding RNA is filed under the name Nicotiana benthamiana. RNAcentral's name for it is "long non-coding RNA (NBEN_LNC001981)". Lineage: Eukaryota; Viridiplantae; Streptophyta; Magnoliopsida; Solanales; Solanaceae. The record is from RNAcentral.